Molecule: ribosomal RNA, 735 nt
Filed under: Escherichia coli
Lineage: Bacteria; Pseudomonadati; Pseudomonadota; Gammaproteobacteria; Enterobacterales; Enterobacteriaceae
Description: bacterial SSU rRNA
Rfam family: Bacterial small subunit ribosomal RNA
Source: RNAcentral
CCCGCGGCGCGGUCCUAAACAUGCAAGUCGAACGGUAACAGGAAGAAGCUUGCUUGCUUUGCUGACGAGUGGCGGACGGGUGAGUAAUGUCUGGGAAACUGCCUGAUGGAGGGGGAUAACUACUGGAAACGGUAGCUAAUACCGCAUAACGUCGCAAGACCAAAGAGGGGGACCUUCGGGCCUCUUGCCAUCGGAUGUGCCCAGAUGGGAUUAGCUAGUAGGUGGGGUAACGGCUCACCUAGGCGACGAUCCCUAGCUGGUCUGAGAGGAUGACCAGCCACACUGGAACUGAGACACGGUCCAGACUCCUACGGGAGGCAGCAGUGGGGAAUAUUGCACAAUGGGCGCAAGCCUGAUGCAGCCAUGCCGCGUGUAUGAAGAAGGCCUUCGGGUUGUAAAGUACUUUCAGCGGGGAGGAAGGGAGUAAAGUUAAUACCUUUGCUCAUUGACGUUACCCGCAGAAGAAGCACCGGCUAACUCCGUGCCAGCAGCCGCGGUAAUACGGAGGGUGCAAGCGUUAAUCGGAAUUACUGGGCGUAAAGCGCACGCAGGCGGUUUGUUAAGUCAGAUGUGAAAUCCCCGGGCUCAACCUGGGAACUGCAUCUGAUACUGGCAAGCUUGAGUCUCGUAGAGGGGGGUAGAAUUCCAGGUGUAGCGGUGAAAUGCGUAGAGAUCUGGAGGAAUACCGGUGGCGAAGGCGGCCCCCUGGACGAACACUGACGCUCAGGUGCGAUA